Molecule: ribosomal RNA, 255 nt
Filed under: uncultured bacterium
Lineage: Bacteria
Description: partial 16S ribosomal RNA
Rfam family: Bacterial small subunit ribosomal RNA
Source: RNAcentral
GAAGCGAAACCGCGAGGUGGAGCAAAACCCAAAAAAGUAAGUCCCAGUUCGGAUUGAAGGCUGAAAUUCGCCUUCAUGAAGCCGGAAUUGCUAGUAAUGGCAGGUCAGCAUACUGCCGUGAAUACGUUCCCGGGCCUUGUACACACCGCCCGUCACACCAUGAGAGUUGGGAAUACCCGAAGCCUGUGAGCUAACUUUUAGAGGCAGCAGUCGAAGGUAGAAUCAAUGAUUGGGGUGAAGUCGUAACAAGGUACC